AUUCCAUGAUGGGGGCACUUUUGUAAUAAUUUUUUGUACCUUUCCCAUACCUCAUACAAGGACUCAUCAUCCAUUUUUUGGAAAGUAGUGAUCUCGUUCCUUAACUU
Gossypium arboreum is the source of this 107-nucleotide non-coding RNA. The record is from Rfam. NCBI's taxonomy places the organism in Eukaryota, Viridiplantae, Streptophyta, Magnoliopsida, Malvales, Malvaceae.